This is a long non-coding RNA of Juglans regia (Persian walnut), 1412 nucleotides long. RefSeq lists it as uncharacterized. The transcript is spliced from 2 exons. NCBI's taxonomy places the organism in Eukaryota, Viridiplantae, Streptophyta, Magnoliopsida, Fagales, Juglandaceae. The record is from RefSeq and is a predicted model, not a curated record.
CGACUGACAUGGCAAGUCACGUAAUUUUAUAUUAAAAAAAAAACAAAAAAUCUGAUUGAAAGAAAUCCCCUCAUUUUUCUUGUUGAGAAUCCAUACCUCUCCCUCUCCCACCGACGCACGCACACAUAUCCUCCCUCUCUCACCGUCCGCCACCGGCCUCCGGUUCGUGCGGCAGCAGAGCACCAUUUCAGGCAUCGUCUUCCGGCUCCCCUCCAGCCAGCCUCACUUCUCCCACGAAUCCUAGCGGUAGAUUUUCUAGACUUCCAUAUUUUCCUCUUACUCGAAUGUUAGGGCUUUUGAUCUUCAAAUGUUGGGGUUUUUUAUUCUGCUGUGAUCUACGUUAGGGUUUUUUAUGUUUAUUUAAUUCUUUCUUGUUCUACCUGCUGUGUUUGAUCUACGUUAGGGUUUUGUUGCAGUUUGCAAAGUUCGGCUCUCUCUAUCUGCCCUUCUCUCUCUCUCGUUGGUUCACGUAGUGGUAAUGAAAAAGCUCGUGACAGUGCUGGGUUUCUUUUUGUUGUUGUUUGGUUAUUUGAGUCCAGUCUGCUACUUUAGAACAUUCCUAACAAUGUAUUGGUUCUAUGUUCUCCUUGUCGAGAUUUUCUUGCUUAAACCAUUUACUUGGACAACAUACAUGAAUUUCUUAAUGGUAAAUUUCAGAGUCCAAAUUGUACAACAUACAUAUUAACUUGAUCAUUAAAUGAGUUCUGAACUAGAUGUCAAUUUUUAAUCUAACGGGUCUCUUCAUUCUUUAUAUUUCUUUUGAAAAUAUCAGAAUUUUGUAAAUACUUCUUUGAUUGCACUUUGGACGACUAAUAUUUCCAAAAAAUAAAUUGUAACUUAUCUGUUUCGUUAAAUGCUAGGAUAUUGAUGGUUAUGUGUCUGUUUCUCUGUUGCAAACUGCCCUAAGCCAACAACUUAGAUAACAUGCUCAUUUUUUUCUCCUUAAUAAGUUGUUCCUCAAUAUAUGCAUUCACUUAAUUGUGUAUCCCUACAUGUUCUGCAACUCAGAAGGCUUGAAGCUAUUUCAUUGAUGCUGCCUGAGGUUUAAUAUGCCUACUCCAUGUUUGUAUCCUAAAUUGUAUCCAAGUUGAGAUGCAGUAUGUGUUUGAUUUAGGUUGUUGCAGAUUGUAUCACAUGAUAUAUUAGAGCAAAGAAGCUUGGAUAUUUAAUUAUGACAGAUUGCUCUAGACUCUUGUUCUCAGUUUAAUCGGAUCUUGCUCCAAUUACGUGCUCUUUUGCCGUUCCUCUUGUUUUAUCUUUGAUGAUUAUCGCUUAUGCUGUUCCUCUAGUUGUUCUGUUAUGCGAUUGUUUCUUUAACAUCUCAUCUAACAAUCAUCUAACAUCUUAUGCUACGUGUAUCUUUUGAAGUUGAGUUUUUAAUCGGUUGAUUCUAUUUUCGUCAUAUGUUAGUA